Non-coding RNA from Paramuricea clavata, 3014 nucleotides. The record is from the annotation of a GenBank genome assembly. NCBI's taxonomy places the organism in Eukaryota, Metazoa, Cnidaria, Anthozoa, Malacalcyonacea, Plexauridae.
AUGGAAUUUCCCUAGAGAAACUAGAUGAAAAUACAAACAAAAGCACCAAAUUUUGCUUGAACAAAAGAAUUAAAUGAAAAUACAAACAAAAGCACCAAAUUUUGGUUGAAAGUCUGGCAGGACUGGGCUUUUUGCGAGAGAAUAUAAUGUUGACAUUCAGAAGUACGUAUCCAAUUUUGCCAUGCUAAUAAUAAACAAGUAAUCAUGCGAUGUUACUCGUACAAUUAGGGAUUAAUAAUACUCGUAAUGUUUGGAAAUUUGCCAAAUUGAACUCGCCCCGGCGGCUCGUCCAAGUUUGGAAAAAUUUCCAAACAUCACUCGUACUAUUAAUCCCUAAUUGUACGAGCAACAUCGCAUGAUUACCUAUACUAAAUUUUGAAGUUUUGAAUUUAGAGUUAGCCCCAUGUACUAUGGAAGUAACGUCGCUCCAUGGCUCCCUAACUGUUACAGCCAUGUUUUUACAAACACGACAGGUAAAUACUUUUUUCUUUUUCACAGCACACGCUGCCCAAUUUGUCGUGAAAGUUUUGCUCACAAGCUUGAACGACGACCACUGCCAAAUUCACGAAAACGUUCUGGAAAAUAACAAUAGACCGAUAGCCGAGAAUAGCUAUAAGACUUUCAUGGGCAUAUCAUAAUGGACCUGCUUCAUGUCGCUGGUGAACUUCUAAGCACGGUUAGGCUAUUGAUCCAGUAACUGUAAGUAUUUGUGUAACUUAAAAAGAUAUCAAUGCUCAGGAAAGUUUCCAGAUUACAUGUACUACAUCACACUCUGUCCAGUGAAAGUGACACUAUGUAAAGGAAUUUCAAAAUAACAAAGUGACUAACCUCACGUUUUGUCCAGUAAAAACGACACGAACUCCGGUAACGUUUAUUGUCUUAUGUAUUUAAAAUGACUUUCAAAACGACAAAGUAACUUUUUUUUAAAGUUUGUGUUUUUUGGAUAUUUCAUGAUGUUUGAUACGCAAAUGUACUGCAUUUACCUCCAAAAUGAGUGAUGACUUAUAAAAUUAAAGAAUAACAGUUACUUUCGAAAUAUGUUUGUGUCCAAGAAAUAAGAAGACUAAGUUGGGUAUUAGCUACGUGUGUUUUUCAUCCUCCCACAACUCCAAACUCAUCAUAUUGAAGAAUUACGAAAACUUUGAUUCGACGAUAUUCAUAUAAGAACAUUUAUACGGAAGAAAAGAGUCUUCAAUACGCUGAUGAUUCAACUUUAUAUCGACAUUGCAUGUGGCCGGGUCAACGAGUUGAGUGCGACUAAGUCAAGCGUUGAGGAAAAUUAAUCUAAUUUUCAAUCUGUCAGAAACUACUAAUUAAUGUUCUUUUUGCUUCACAACAAAUUACCAGGAAUUAUGAGUUAGAUAAAUAAAAUUGGGUUGAAAUAGCCGUAAACGAUAUACAAAUGAAACGAGUUUUAUCUGCAUGGAAAGGACUUAGGAUGCUUUUCAAACGAAACUUGUUUGGGAAUCACCAUAUUACAGAUUUAACAUCAUCCUGAUUUGAUAGUUUAAUGCUGCUCAAACGAUUUAAUUUAAGCCAUAUCAUAUCAGAAAGGAACUUCAAGCUUUUUUCUUUAAUUGUUCAAUGCAGAGGAAACGACCAAAGUUUCCACACAUAAUUACGUUACCAAAGUAUUGUCAAAGUCUGCCGCAAAUAUGCCAGGAUUUAAUUUCUAUCCAAGGCUUCGAAAUCAUUAAUUUACAAGGAUUGGAAUAUUAUAUUGAAACAGACGUUUUUAUUCCGAUCUUAUUGAUGUAUUAUAGAAAUUAUUUGAAGAUGCAGUACAAUCUGUUCUGCACAUGUUUACAUUAGAGCUUCCAGCUUGUGAUACGAGCGGUGCUAGGUAUACAUAGCUGGGCUACAUGUUUAUUCAAUGCCUGGUGGUACAUGCAUGCUUGGUUACCGAUUUCACUCUGGAAUACAAAUAUAUAAAUAGUUAGCACCAUUUAAUUUCGUAUACAGGUAAUAAAGUCAUGAUUAUUAUUAUAUUUGGAUACAAACAUGUAAAAAAACUUGGUAACUGCAGACGGACAUUACGGCAUCUUCAUAUAUAAUUUAGCUGUGUUGAUAUAGAUAUUUAUCCUUUUAUUUAUUUAGAUCCAGACGAUUGAUGACAACAACUUGGUUUUCAAUUUUUCUUUCUUUUAUUCCUAUUUAGUUUGUUAAAUCUAGCUUUAAGGAAUAUAAAUGUAUGUAUAAUCAGCGAAUCAUAUAAUUAUAUAGCAAGAAAUAUGCAAAAUCAGCAUCAUCUUUAAAGUUAGUUACAUCGCAUUGUAGACGUGCGUCCUGGUGUAUAUUGGACGUUGCACAACGAAUCUUGCAUGAAGUAAAAAGAACACGUAGAAAAAUGCUGAUUAGAUUAAGAAAAAUGGUUUGGUGGACGUUCAAUUAAUAAUAAUAAUAAUAAUAAUAAUAAUAAUAAUAAUGGAAACUUUAUUUAAUUUUCUAAACUUACAACUGCAAAUCUUAUAAUAAUAAUGAUAAUGAUAAUAAUAAUGAUAAUGAUAAUGAUAAUAAUGAAAACUUUAUUAAUAGAACAUUUAUAGAUAUAUACAAUUGUAAAUCUCACUUCUUGAGGUAACCUACAAUUGACUAUUCAAAUCACUUAUGCAUGAUUAUAAUUUUAUAUACAAAAUCAUUAAUUAUUUGUAGAAAUAGUUUUAAAUGUCCAUUAGUACGGGAUUUGUCCAUUCUUUAUUUCUACAGCAAAAUAUGUAAUAAGUUGCUGUUGAUCGCGGAUGGCAAUAAAUAUAAUUUUUCUGUUGCAACAUUGUUGGUGUUGAUUAUCCAAUCCUAAAUCAUUUAGCAUUUGGCAUUCUUUGUCAAAUACCCCGAGCGAACUGACAGAAAGAUCUAUAAAUUUCACAGAUGUAAAGUUUUGAUCCAAUUCUCUAAUUAGGUUCUUAUAUUUAGAUUUCUUGCGGUUAACAUUGUUUAUGAGGUUUGAUUCAAAGCCUACGGUAAGUUCAACAACGUAGAGGUGUGUGUCUGAAGUGGAGACAAGUAAAUCAGGA